RNAcentral lists this unclassified non-coding RNA (351 nucleotides) under fungal sp. RNAcentral describes it as "partial internal transcribed spacer region". The stretch from base 1 to 46 matches the Rfam family "Eukaryotic small subunit ribosomal RNA", at positions 1786 to 1831 of the family's 1831-position model. The record is from RNAcentral. Lineage: Eukaryota; Fungi.
AAGUCGUAACAAGGUUUCCGUAGGUGAACCUGCGGAAGGAUCAUUAUCAACGUAUCCACGUUUAUAAACCAAAUUACGCGCACUGUUAUCAUUUCACCUUUGGGUUAUCGGCCGCUAUCAGUUGACACAUAUGGAGUUCAUUGUAUGGUUAUGGGCUCGUCCUGAUAAUUUAAGGCUGUCUCUCCAAAGCGUAGUUAAUCAUACGUUAUCUUAUUAACCAAUUGAACCCUUUUUUUAUUUAUUUUUGUUUGAACUGAUUUGUUUCUUUACUUGGCGCCUCACAACGUCGAGAAGGAAAAUAAAUUACGAAACAAUAAAGAACAACUCUUAGCAACGGAUAUCUUGGUUCUC